RNAcentral lists this transfer RNA (63 nucleotides) under Daphnia carinata. RNAcentral's name for it is "tRNA-Ala". It matches the Rfam family "tRNA". From Rfam's summary of the family: Transfer RNA (tRNA) molecules are approximately 80 nucleotides in length. Their secondary structure includes four short double-helical elements and three loops (D, anti-codon, and T loops). Further hydrogen bonds mediate the characteristic L-shaped molecular structure. tRNAs have two regions of fundamental functional importance: the anti-codon, which is responsible for specific mRNA codon recognition, and the 3' end, to which the tRNAs corresponding amino acid is attached (by aminoacyl-tRNA synthetases). tRNAs cope with the degeneracy of the genetic code in two manners: having more than one tRNA (with a specific anti-codon) for a particular amino acid; and 'wobble' base-pairing, i.e. permitting non-standard base-pairing at the 3rd anti-codon position. Lineage: Eukaryota; Metazoa; Arthropoda; Branchiopoda; Diplostraca; Daphniidae. The record is from RNAcentral.
AGGGACGUAGUUAAAUAUAAUACUUGAUUUGCAUUCAAGAGGUGUCUUAUUAGACCUUCCUUA